Molecule: ribosomal RNA, 274 nt
Filed under: uncultured bacterium
Lineage: Bacteria
Description: partial 16S ribosomal RNA
Rfam family: Bacterial small subunit ribosomal RNA
Source: RNAcentral
CCCGCCGGCGACCGGCGCACGGGUGAGUAACACGUAUGAAACCUGCCCGUAGCAGGGGGAUAAGCGGAAGAAAUUCCGUCUAAUACCGCAUAACAACCCAUGGAGGCAUCUCUGUGGGUUUAAAGGAAGCGAUUCCGGCUACGGAUGGUCAUGCGUCGCAUUAGCUUGUUGGCGGGGUAACGGCCCACCAAGGCGACGAUGCGUAGGGGUUCUGAGAGGAAGGUCCCCCACACUGGUACUGAGACACGGCCCAGACUCCUACGGGAGGCAGCAG